GGUCCUAUGGCUUAAUGGAUAAAGCGCCGGUCUACGGAGGACAAGCUGUGCACCUGGCUUCGGGUGUCGCAGCCUCUCGUGGGCAACCGGAGAUUCCAGGUUCGAUCCCUGGUAGGAUCG
Chlamydomonas reinhardtii is the source of this 120-nucleotide non-coding RNA. The record is from Rfam. Lineage: Eukaryota; Viridiplantae; Chlorophyta; Chlorophyceae; Chlamydomonadales; Chlamydomonadaceae.